This 363-nucleotide ribosomal RNA is filed under the name uncultured bacterium. Its description in RNAcentral is "bacterial SSU rRNA". It matches the Rfam family "Bacterial small subunit ribosomal RNA", at positions 28 to 394 of the family's 1533-position model. The record is from RNAcentral.
GAUGAACGCUAGCGGCAGGCUUAACACAUGCAAGUCGAGGGGUAUAGUUCUUCGGAAUUAGAGACCGGCGCACGGGUGCGUAACGCGUAUGCAAUCUACCUUUCACAGAGGGAUAGCCCAGAGAAAUUUGGAUUAAUACCUCAUAGUAUAGCAGUUUCGCAUGAAACCACUAUUAAAGUCACAACGGUGAAAGAUGAGCAUGCGUCCCAUUAGCUAGUUGGUAAGGUAACGGCUUACCAAGGCAACGAUGGGUAGGGUCCUGAGAGGGAGAUCCCCCCACACUGGUACUGAGACACGGACCAGACUCCUACGGGAGGCAGCAGUGAGGAAUAUUGGACAAUGGGCGCAAGCCUGAUCCAGCCA